CACAAAAAAGGAAGUUACAGGAAUCCUAAAUCUUACUGGGAAAGUCUCCCCACCCGAAAUCAUCAUCUCCGCUUUUCGAUGAUCGGGAUCGCGACGGGUUUCUCUCCGAAGACGUUUUUGGUGUAUAGAAGCGAGCCUCGCGUUGGUUCGUUCGAUUAUGAUUCCAUAGUAAAGGAUCAGAAUAUGAAUAAAACAAUGUGAAGUCCUCAACGAUGCCGGUGUUUGACAAGCCUGUUUAUGGUGACGAUAUAUUUGAAGGAUUGCCUGGGCUAAAGAGCGCGUCCUUGAAUUCGUUCGCGGUGAAGCAAGUAGACGUGUUCGUCUCAAUUUCAGCGGAGCCGUGAUGAGUAGAUCGCAUAGCAGCUCCGCUUUUGAUGAUCUAUUGGGUAAUUUGGGGAGGAAAGAAACGGAGUUGAAGAAGGAGAGCGUGAAAGUGGAUAAUGAUUCUUCGGCCUUCGAUGAUUUGCUUCCUGGAUUUGGUAAUAGUAGCUCCCCUAACAGGAAAUGCAUGGAAGCAUCCUUACAAAAUUGAUGCCCGAGGCUUCAAGUGCUGUAUUGAAUGUUUUAGUUAGUCAUCCACCAACCCCUGUAUUAUGGCAUGCUGAAUGGCUCUUGCAGAAGGCUCAGUGAUCAAAACCUUCACCUGUUUAAACUUUAAUGUUCUGGUUGCAUAAAGAAGAAGAUAGUUUGGAGAUUUAGAAAUUCUGUUUCAAGCGAAGGUGGGAAUGGGUAUCAGUCUCAUAUCAACGGUAACUGUGGAAGAUAUGCUCAGUUUGCAAAGCAAUUAACCACGAGGAACUUUGGAGUGUCUGCAAUGGACUGGAUAGGUCACACAGAGUGAUGGAUUGCAUGGAUAUGUUCCCACAUUUGACCAUGUUGUUGCAGACACUGACUUCAAGAAUGUUCCAGGCUCUCUAUAGUGUUGUUCAGUUGCUCUGACAAUCAGCGUAAUUUAACUAUGAACAGGAGGACUUUCUUGGAAAAAGUCCAAACAGAUAACCCUGGAAUACCUGGUUUUCUUUUUGGUCAUUCCACUGGAGGGGCUGUGGUUC
Tripterygium wilfordii is the source of this 1052-nucleotide long non-coding RNA. RefSeq lists it as uncharacterized. The record is from RefSeq and is a predicted model, not a curated record. The transcript has 7 exons. NCBI's taxonomy places the organism in Eukaryota, Viridiplantae, Streptophyta, Magnoliopsida, Celastrales, Celastraceae.